This 587-nucleotide small RNA is filed under the name Pan troglodytes (chimpanzee). RNAcentral's name for it is "processed transcript". Lineage: Eukaryota; Metazoa; Chordata; Mammalia; Primates; Hominidae. The record is from RNAcentral.
AGCGCGGCGUCCGCUGGCGCCCUUGCCGCGGCGAGGCCAAUCCCAGGGAGAUGGCUGGGAGGUCACAGUAUGACCCCAAAUGCAUGUGCUCCUUGAUCCUGACAGGCGUGGCUAUACCUCCCUUUGAAUUUGCUUUCAAAGAUGAGCGUAUCUCUUUUACUAUUCUGGAUGCUGUUAUCAGUCCACCUACAGUUCCAAAAGGGACCAUCUGCAAAGAGGCCAAUGUUUAUCCAGCAGAAUGCCGGGGCCGAAGGAGUACCUACCGUGGGAAGUUGACAGCUGAUAUCAACUGGGCAGUGAAUGGAAUCUCAAAAGGAAUCAUUAAGCAGUUUCUUGGCUAUGUUCCCAUCAUGGUGAAAUCCAAGCUUUGCAACUUACGUAACCUUCCCCCACAAGCCCUCAUUGAGCACCAUGAGGAGGCGGAGCUAUAUUAGGUGGCUUUGCAGUGUUGAGUUGAGGUAAUCAAGAUGAACAGACAGUGCCUACUAAAUAGGAAAUGGGGGGCUAUUUUAUAAUCAAUGGCAUUGAAAAAGUCAUCCGAAUGUUGAUUAUGCCUCGGAGAAAUUUUCCCAUUGCAAUGAUAAGAC